RNAcentral lists this ribosomal RNA (82 nucleotides) under Natrinema hispanicum. RNAcentral's name for it is "Haloterrigena hispanica 23S rRNA. Archaeal LSU". It matches the Rfam family "Archaeal large subunit ribosomal RNA", at positions 2895 to 2973 of the family's 2987-position model. Lineage: Archaea; Methanobacteriati; Methanobacteriota; Halobacteria; Halobacteriales; Natrialbaceae. The record is from RNAcentral.
GUAGAAGACGAGAUCGAUAGACUCGGGAUGUACGCACCAAGGCAACGAGGUGUUGAGUCCGCGAGCACUAAUCGGCCAAGCC